This is an RNA transcript of Drosophila pseudoobscura, 2980 nucleotides long. It is a transcript of the gene named Calcineurin A1, with no coding region annotated. The transcript has 8 exons. NCBI's taxonomy places the organism in Eukaryota, Metazoa, Arthropoda, Insecta, Diptera, Drosophilidae. The record is from RefSeq and is a predicted model, not a curated record.
GAGUGAAAAUUCAGUGAUUGCUCCUCCAGAGACUCAACCAUAGACCCAAGAAAGUACGAGUCGAACAUUGAAGUAUCCCCCACCUGCAGACCACUGCAGAUGUACCCGAUUGAUGGUAGAACGCAUAUAUAUUUUUGCACGAGGCGCGCACAAAGUCAAGACUAUAAUUAUAGCGACACCCACCUAUUGGCGCCCAAUUUCUAGCAAACACUACCCAUACACCUAUGACUAUACACCCAUACGCACACACACAAUCAAUAUCACGGACAAGCGGACAACGAAAUGCGUCUCACGGUCAAGUUGAAAAGCAUUGAGAGCGGAUGUGGAAAUGGGAAUGGGAUGGAGAUGAGAAUGGGAAUGAGAACGAGAUCGAGACCGUGAAUGGGGGAGCAAAGGCAGAUGUGUUAAUGUUUAUGAAGGUCAGUGGAACCGCAGAGGGAGCAACAGUCGAAGAAGGGCAACAGCCCCCUCUCUUUUCCACAUCACAGUAAUUUCUCUCUCUCUCUAUCUUUCUUUCAAUUUUUUAACGAGUGCGUGUGUGACAUUAACCCAAUAAAAAUAGUCGGAUAUACAGCCAGAGCGGAGACCAGAACCCUACGCAACAAUUACGAACGAUCACGAAUGCGCCUGCAAACGAUCAGGAAUGAUCACGAAUGAUCACGACAGAGAAAGAGACAGAGACAGAGAGAGCGAGAGAGGGAAAGAGCGCGUCAAGGGCGUAGCUUGAGAGACAGUGAGAGGCUGAGAGAGCGCCCCGAUUUCUGCCGAUCGUCUUCGGGCUUUCGAUCUGUGUCUUUGAUUUGGUUUCGCGAAAAUUUUCGCUCAGUUUCGAGGAAAAUUGCGGCGCGCCAACUUGGGAAAUGCGUUGCGUGGUGCCCUAGUCGCAGUCCCGUUCCGAUCCGAGCAUACACCAUACAACACUAAGGCCAGAAAAGCCCCCAAGGAUUAGGCUGCAGCAAAGUGUGACCAAAGUGAUCUAUGUGUGUCGUCGCUCCUCCAUCUUCGUUGAUUCUUUGAUUUUACGAUUAUUUCUAUUUCUAUUUAUAUUUCCAUUCUUGUAUGGCUAUUUCGGUGCGCGUUUGUUUUUGUGGCUAAUUAGCACAAAGUGUCGAGCAAUUUUCCGUCUCAAUUGAGCUCAAGUGCUGCCCUUCUGCCAAGAAAUAAGUGAUGAAAACACGAAAAGUUAAUACGUAGCUGAAUAAUUGCCCGAUAUUUAAAUAUUAAUUGUUCAACAUUUAUUUCGUGUGCGCGAAAUACAAGAUACUACUACGAGUUGUCCGUCUCUAUAGAUGGGAUGCCUGCCAUUGCCUGGCUAAAAAUAUAGAUAUGCAUAUGAAAGUCCACAUCCAUACAAUAUAACAACAAAUUUUAUUUAUUGCCUAAAUAUAUUUGUGUGUUUUUCUUGGGCGAGUGUGUCCGUCGUCUGUUUCCAUAAAGCGACGCUGGGCCAGCGAUUUGCCGUAUAAUAUUCGAAAAUUCUUGUGCUAGUAACACUUUUAGCUUCAGCUUCUGCUUACCCCCAACAAAAACUCAACUCGUAAAAAUUUAUAUCAGGCAAAAAAGAUUGCAAAAACUGAAUCAACAGAACAGCAAAACAGAAAAAGUAGCAGUGAAAACACAUAAAGAAUUAAUAAAAGACUAAAAAACAAAACGGAAAAUAAAUAAAUUCAAAUAUUCAACAAUCAUGUCCGCCUCUGCGCGAAGUUCGGUGACGAGAAAAUCGUCGCUGAGCAAAAGUUCCACCGCGGAAAAGUCUACAAAGUCCUCGACAAGCUCCUCAAAGACAACCACUACAUCGACAGCAGCAGCCCCACCAAAUGGAGGAAGCAAACAGAAAAUGCAGUACUCAAAAACCAGGGAGCGAAUGGUGGAUGAUGUCCCGCUGCCGCCCACACACAAGCUCACCAUGUCCGAGGUCUACGACGACGAGAAGACGGGCAAACCCAAUUUCGAUGUACUGCGCAAGCACUUCCUGCUCGAGGGCCGCGUCGAGGAGUCGGUGGCCCUGCGCAUCAUCGAAGAGGGCGCCAACCUGCUGCGCGAGGAGAAGAACAUGAUUGACGUGGAGGCCCCCAUCACCGUCUGUGGCGACAUUCACGGACAGUUCUUCGAUUUGGUCAAACUAUUCGAGGUUGGCGGACCCCCAGCCACGACCAGAUAUCUGUUCCUGGGCGACUACGUGGACAGGGGAUACUUCAGCAUAGAGUGCGUUCUGUAUCUGUGGUCCUUGAAGAUAACCUACCCCGCCACACUGUCGCUCCUGCGAGGCAACCACGAGUGCCGCCACCUCACGGAAUACUUCACCUUCAAGCAGGAAUGCAUCAUCAAGUAUUCGGAAAGUAUUUACGAGGCCUGCAUGGAAGCGUUCGACUGCCUGCCGCUGGCCGCCCUGCUCAACCAGCAGUUUCUGUGCAUCCACGGCGGUCUGUCGCCAGAGAUUUUCACACUCGACGAUAUCAAGACGCUAAAUCGAUUCAGGGAACCACCGGCCUAUGGACCCAUGUGCGAUCUGCUGUGGUCCGAUCCCCUGGAGGACUUUGGCAACGAGAAAACGACCGAGUUCUUCUCGCACAACUCCGUGCGAGGCUGUUCCUACUUCUUCAGCUAUAUGGCCUGCUGUGAGUUCCUGCAGAAGAACAACCUGCUGUCCAUAGUGAGAGCACACGAGGCCCAGGAUGCGGGCUAUCGCAUGUAUCGGAAGAAUCAGGUAACUGGCUUCCCCUCACUCAUCACCAUCUUCUCCGCCCCCAACUAUUUGGAUGUUUACAACAACAAGCUGUGCUCAAGUACGAGAACAACGUGAUGAACAUUCGGCAGUUCAACUGCUCCCCCCAUCCCUACUGGCUGCCCAACUUCAUGGAUGUCUUCACAUGGUCACUGCCCUUCGUGGGCGAGAAGGUAACCGAGAUGCUGGUGAAUAUCCUCAACAUCUGUUCGGACGAUGAGCUGGUGGCCGGACCCGAUGACGAGCUGGAGGAAG